Non-coding RNA from Lentinula edodes (shiitake mushroom), 85 nucleotides. Lineage: Eukaryota; Fungi; Basidiomycota; Agaricomycetes; Agaricales; Omphalotaceae. The record is from Rfam.
GCAUUAAUGGGGUAGUGGUAACCUGGGUCGUUGCCAUUGCGGUUUCGGAUUCGACCCGCCGGGGGUUCGAUUCCCCCUUAAUGCA